UUGAAUUAUUGUAUUGUUACCUUCUGUUAAUGAUUGUCUUUAACAUGUUAUGCAGAAGCAAUAUUUUGCAUGAUUACUUUAAUGAUGUUUUAUAUGGGAUUAGGUAUUACUAAUGUUUUAUAUGGAAUUAGGCUUUGGCUAUCAUCAUUGGCGCUAUACCAUUUUUGAAGAACUUCAUCUUGACUGAUGAUGCCUCGUUAUUCUUCUUCACUGACAGCUGCCUUAUUCUUGGGGAAGCGAUGAUCCCAUGUAUUUUGCUUGCUCUGGGUGGAAAUCUUGUGGAUGGCUCUGGCCCAGGCAGUAAAAGACUUGGUUUACGAACAACUGCUGCUAUCAUAUUUGGAAGAUUGGCUUUGGUUCCUCCUACAGGACUUGGAAUAAUCACCAUUGCUGACAAGCUUGGACUUUUUCCCAGGGGCGACAAAAUGUUCAAAUUUGUCCUGCUGCUGCAGCACA
This is a long non-coding RNA of Zingiber officinale, 456 nucleotides long. RefSeq lists it as uncharacterized. The transcript is spliced from 3 exons. The record is from RefSeq and is a predicted model, not a curated record. NCBI's taxonomy places the organism in Eukaryota, Viridiplantae, Streptophyta, Magnoliopsida, Zingiberales, Zingiberaceae.